CAGUGUCCCAACUCCUAUACCUAAAGGUCUGAGCAAUGAAGAUGUGGAUGUUUACCCUGAGGGCAGUUGGGAGUUAACCACAUUGCUGUGGGUCUGGAGUCACAUGUUGGCCAGACCGGGAUGAGGCUGUCACUGGCUCGGCCAGCAUU
Chiloscyllium plagiosum (whitespotted bambooshark) is the source of this 149-nucleotide non-coding RNA. The record is from RefSeq and is a predicted model, not a curated record. Lineage: Eukaryota; Metazoa; Chordata; Chondrichthyes; Orectolobiformes; Hemiscylliidae.